Molecule: long non-coding RNA, 2154 nt
Organism: Rhineura floridana
Lineage: Eukaryota; Metazoa; Chordata; Lepidosauria; Squamata; Rhineuridae
Exons: 3
Source: RefSeq, a predicted model, not a curated record
AGUUUGCUGUUUCCCGACAUUUAACGUUGAAGUUAAAUUUCACUGAUUUCAGUGGAAUGUAGAAUUAAAGAUUCCAAAGAUCAUCGUAGGUGGAGAGGGCCUCACAGACCAUCUGUUCUAACUCUCCUUGAUGCAGAAACUCCAGAGCGAAAAGUAUUACCAUUAGAUGACUUCCCAGCCUGUUCAGGAAGACCUCCUGUGAGACACAGCCCACCUUCUAGGAUCAUCUUUGUCAAUGGCUCUCAUGGUGUGAAUGACCUAAAACGGGAAACAAAGAAACAAACAAAAUGUUUAUCUAAAUCUGUGACACUGCACAGGUUUGAGCAAACUGUGUGAAAAAGAAGAAAAGAAAUGCCAGAAGCUGGAAUUCCAUGUCUCUCUUCCUUUUUUAGAGAUGCACAAGCUUUCCAAAAUUCACCUUGGAUUAAUCUGGAUGUUAAUCUGGAAAUUAUCAGACAACUUCCUGAAAGAUUUUGGGAGAGUGUUGCGUGCAUCUCCAAUAGAUAUAUCUGAGAUUCCUCUUUUCUGAAAUUCUUUCUCUUCGGACAUCCAAGCAUCUAUGACAGUGGUGGCUUGUGCUCAUUGGGACUUGUAGGGUGGAGGCAGGGAGGCCAGCAACAGGCUGAGCCAGAGCCAAUGAAAGGCACAGCCAACUAAUUCUAGUUGUGUCUCCAUCCUCCUCUUUGCUGAGUUCUACCAGGGGCAACACAAGGGAGGAAGCUGCAGACAAUGCUGACCCUGGACUGGAUGCAAGUAAGAAGGCAAGGAGGUGAAGACUGCCUAUGGACACUGAAGCUGGUGGGAGAGUGACCCAUUUGCCCUAACAGAGCAGCCUCCACUGGUCUAUGGUGCUGUCUUAGAUGGUUGCUUAAAACUUCCACAUUCAUGCAGGCUUUCCCUGUGGCCGGUGUGACCCAGCUAUUGUCCUUACUAUAAAAGAUGCUUUACUAUUUUUCUGUAUUAUAUUUCUCAUAUGCUUUCAAGACUUAACAUGAUUCUCACAGAGAUACAAUAAGGUUUAAGAAACUCCUCCACCACUCUCUUUUCAAUUCCAACUGACAGUUAACGUUCUGUGGCUACUGAGCAUGCUCAGUCCACAGUGCACGGGGGGAGGGCAGCAGGAAGGGGUUGGUCUCUUAUGUCCCCCCCCAGGAUUGUUUGUGUUUGUGCAAACUUUUUUUUUUAGCUUAGUUUUGGUUUUUCUACGCCAAGCAUGCUAAUAUCUCUUCUAUUCUCAUUGGCCUAAUUCGGGCUACAGUCCUGUUGGUACUCACCCCUAUUAGGCGAGAUGUGUGUCUAGGACAAUUGUUUAUGCACUGGUGACGGGGGUCUCUCCUCCUCCACAGAAGCUAAGGCCACAAUAACUGCAUAAUUGGUUAGUCUUUGGUAGCACACAACUCUUCAUUGUGCCGUUCCAACUUUCUGUAGGGGUGUCUUUGCCUCCACCCCCCCAAUUGUUAAGACAUAGGUGGUUUGUUCCAAUGGUUGUGUGAGGUGGCGUGACUUCUGAUCCAUUGGGGAAGGAGUGAUGAGCAAGGCAUUUAAGCUUGCUCCGCCCUCCAAUCUCGCUUUUCGUUUGCUUGUGGCGCCCACCCUCCUGCCCUUUCAGUAUGAGUUCAGCUAGUCACUGUUUAGGGGCUGAGUAGUAUUUUUGGGGGGGAGGUGUAUGUAGCCUCCCCUUUGGUUUGCCUUCUCCAUAUUGUGGGGUUCAUUCAAUUGGCUUCUUGAGUGGUGGGCCUGCUGCGAGUUGGCAUGGAGUUAGGACAGGUGAGGAAUUUGGAGGGUUAGUAUGGGGUAUGCUGAGGUAGUUAUGAGAUUGGGGUGUCCUUUGAGGAACUCCCAGUGUUUUAGGCCUGGGGUGCAGCUGGGGGGUUCCUCUGAGGGCCUAUCUUGUUCAUUCUGGUGAAAGCCGGUAUGGCAGGGCCUGGAUGUGCAGGGUGGGUGACCACCCAGGGCUUGUCUAGCAAGGAGGGAUGCAUUUAUCAACAUCCUUGGUGCCUAUGGCUGUUGACAUGCCCAGGGGCCUGGGGGGGAUGUUCCCCCACCAGAGGUAGUUUUGUUCUCACCUGUCCAAGCAGGUUUUAUUCAGUUAAUUUGGUUGAUUUGGUCUGCAGGUUCUCGAGAAUGUAUUGUUAUAUUUUAAUAAAUAUAACA